RNAcentral lists this transfer RNA (69 nucleotides) under Loxodonta africana (African savanna elephant). It matches the Rfam family "tRNA". Rfam says of the family: Transfer RNA (tRNA) molecules are approximately 80 nucleotides in length. Their secondary structure includes four short double-helical elements and three loops (D, anti-codon, and T loops). The record is from Rfam by way of RNAcentral. Lineage: Eukaryota; Metazoa; Chordata; Mammalia; Proboscidea; Elephantidae.
GCAUUAGUGGUUCAAUGGUAGAACUCUCUCCUUCCACACGGAGACCAGGGUUCAAUUCCAGCUAAUGCA